CAGCCGCCGCGGGAAUACGGAGGGGGCUAGCGUUGUUCGGAAUUACUGGGCGUAAAGCGCACGUAGGCGGCGAUCUAAGUCAGGGGUGAAAGCCCGGGGCUCAACCCCGGAAUAGCCUUUGAGACUGGAUUGCUAGAAUCUGGGAGAGGUGAGUGGAAUUCCGAGUGUAGAGGUGAAAUUCGUAGAUAUUCGGAAGAACACCAGUGGCGAAGGCGGCUCACUGGACCAGUAUUGACGCUGAGGUGCGAAAGCGUGGGGAGCAAACAGGAUUAGAUACCCCAGUAGUCCCUGUCUCUUAUAC
RNAcentral lists this ribosomal RNA (301 nucleotides) under uncultured bacterium. Its description in RNAcentral is "partial 16S ribosomal RNA". It matches the Rfam family "Bacterial small subunit ribosomal RNA", at positions 509 to 807 of the family's 1533-position model. The record is from RNAcentral.